RNAcentral lists this ribosomal RNA (403 nucleotides) under Fusobacteriota bacterium. Its description in RNAcentral is "Fusobacteria bacterium partial 16S ribosomal RNA". It matches the Rfam family "Bacterial small subunit ribosomal RNA", at positions 355 to 776 of the family's 1533-position model. The record is from RNAcentral. Lineage: Bacteria; Fusobacteriati; Fusobacteriota.
AGGGGAAUAUUGCACAAUGGAGGGAACUCUGAUGCAGCGACGCCGCGUGAACGAAGAAGGCUUUCGAGUCGUAAAGUUCUUCUAUAUGGGAAGAUAAUGACGGUACCAUAAGAAAAAGCCCCGGCUAACUACGUGCCAGCAGCCGCGGUAAUACGUAGGGGGCUAGCGUUGUCCGGAAUCACUGGGCGUAAAGGGUUCGCAGGCGGAAAUGCAAGUCAGGUGUAAAAGGCAGUAGCUUAACUACUGUAAGCAUUUGAAACUGCAUAUCUUGCGACGAGUAGAGGUAAGUGGAAUUUUUAGUGUGGCGGUGAAAUGCCUAGAGAUUAACAAGAAUACCGGUGGCAAAGGCGACCUGCUGAGCUCAUUCUGACGCUGAGGAACGAAAGCGUGGGUAGCAAACAGC